This 468-nucleotide ribosomal RNA is filed under the name uncultured bacterium. Its description in RNAcentral is "partial 16S ribosomal RNA". It matches the Rfam family "Bacterial small subunit ribosomal RNA", at positions 28 to 507 of the family's 1533-position model. The record is from RNAcentral.
GACGAACGCUGGCGGCGUGCUUAACACAUGCAAGUCGAACGGAAAGGCCCUGCUUUUGUGGGGUGCUUGAGUGGCGAACGGGUGAGUAACACGUGAGUAACCUGCCCGUGACUUUGGGAUAACUUCAGGAAACUGGGGCUAAUACCGCAUAGGAGCUCCUGCUGCAUGGUGGGGGCUGGAAAGUUUCGGCGGUUGGGGAUGGACUCGCGGCUUAUCAGCUUGUUGGUGGGGUAGUGGCUUACCAAGGCUUUGACGGGUAGCCGGCCUGAGAGGGUGACCGGCCACAUUGGGACUGAGAUACGGCCCAGACUCCUACGGGAGGCAGCAGUGGAGAAUAUUGCACAAUGGGCGGAAGCCUGAUGCAGCAACGCCGCGUGCGGGAUGACUGCCUUCGGGUUGUAAACCGCUUUCGCCUGUGACGAAGCGUGAGUGACGGUAAUGGGUAUAGAAGCACCGGCUAACUACGUG